GAGUGGCGAACGGGUGAGUAAUGCAUCGGAACGUGCCCAUCGAUGGGGGAUAACUGCGCGAAAGCGUUGCUAAUACCGCAUACGACCUACGGGUGAAAGCAGGGGACCGCAAGGCCUUGCGUCGAUGGAGCGGCCGAUGCCGGAUUAGCUAGUUGGUGAGGUAAAGGCUCACCAAGGCGACGAUCCGUAGCUGGUCUGAGAGGACGACCCAGCCACACUGGGACUGAGACACGGCCCAGACUCCUACGGGAGGCAGCAGUGGGGAAUCUUGGACAAUGGGCGAAAGCCUGAUCCAGCAAUGCCGCGUGUGGGAAGAAGGCCCUCGGGUUGUAAACCACUUUUGGCGGGAAAGAAAUGGUCUGUGCUAAUACCACGGAUUGAUGACGGUACCCGCAGAAUAAGCACCGGCUAACUACGUG
This 419-nucleotide ribosomal RNA is filed under the name uncultured bacterium. RNAcentral describes it as "bacterial SSU rRNA". It matches the Rfam family "Bacterial small subunit ribosomal RNA", at positions 93 to 507 of the family's 1533-position model. The record is from RNAcentral.